UGUUUGUCAAUCAUCUUUAACAAUGAUCUUACACAGGUUUUGUAUGUGCAUGUAUUUAUACAUCAUGAUAGUUUUUAGGUUAACACAAAUGAACAAAGAUGCUUAUUAGAGCUGACAUGGUCUGAAAUGAUUCUUAUUUUAUUUUUAAAACAAAUAGAAGAAAGUUCUUCGGUAGCAUGUUUGUUUGUUAUGUUUUAUCCUUUCAGUAAGAGUACAUUAAUAUUAAUAUCAGAGUAAAGUGAUAAUACAAUGCAUGGUUUGAAAUAUUAUCCAUUUAUGAAAUAUAUCUAAAAUUGUUCAAGAAUUGAGAUUGGACCAGCAUUAAACAAGUGUAUCCAAUUUGUUUUGUCAAAUUUUUUUUUUGGGAAAUCAGAACUGGCGAGGUAAUUUGUAUGUGUGUUUUCCUCAUAAACAUAUUACUGGAUUAUAGUGUAAUGUGUGCAGAUCAAUGAUUCAUUCAGAAAUUUGUCAAGAGAAAUGCCAUAAGCAGUAGUAGUUGAUUCCACUCAUCAAACCCACUUCAACCUUGUGUUUGGUCAAUUACUGUAUUCUGUUGAAUCACAACAUCUACCUCUACUAUGUUCUUUAGGAUUAGCAUAGUUUUUAUUUUUUAAAAAAAAAUUAUAAUAUUUGAACAACUUUUGAGUUCAACAAGAAAGCAUGCAAUGUAUAACUUUUGAAAAGAAAGACAACAAGACAUUAUGUGUCUGUAUUCAAACGUUUUUAGAUAGUUGAUCACACAACCUAAUCUAAAAACUAAAAAUAAAAUGGAUAAAAAUUUGUUAGUAAAAUCUUGAUAUUUGAAUUCAAUGCCGUAUAUCAAAUUAAUACUUCUUACUCCAAGUAAAAAAAGUAUUCAAUUAAAUACAUAGUUGUUCUUUCAAAACUAAUAUUCAUGUUCAUAACAUAUACAUACACACACACACACAUAUAUAUAUAUAUAUAUAAGUGCUGAAAAAUCGCCCACAACCCUACAAACAAAUUCAAGACAUUUUACAGAUUCUUAAUAUUACAAUCAUGCACACUUCAACUAUAUAUAUAGUUCAUAUUUUCUUCAUACAAUAAUAACAUAAUAAUUAGCUUUAAUUACAAAUUUUGAAUACACAUGGAAAUGGAUUUACAUAAAAUGGGUUCAUUGCAUUUUUUUUUUUUUUUUUUUUUUUUGUUUAAAUCCUACAAAUUAGAUUAUUGACUCAUUUGUUCAGUCAUAUACGUAAUUCACCAAAUUUACUAUUCCAGAUAUUUUUGCAAUGUUUUAAUGGUCUUUUUCUUUCAUUUUUUAAACCUUAAUUUCUGAGGGGAAAAAAAUAUACCUCACACAACACUAGUGCCCAUGCUUUUUUCUUUUUCUUUUUAAAAAAUGACACAUAUCUGGUAAAAUCUAAAAGUAUGAAAUUUUGUUAAACUUUUUUACAAUUUUGACUGCUUGUCAAUCUUGAAACAUGCAAUUCCAAGCCAAAGUUGUCAUCCUUCAAGGAUCUGAAACAGUUAUUUUCUCGAAUCGAAACACAUACUUUACUGAGUUCACUUUGAUUGAAAAAAAAUCAAAAUUUAAUAUUUGAUGCUUUUAAUUUUUAUUCAAGAUUAAACGGUUCGGUUUUUUUUUUUUUUUUUUUUUUUUUUUUUUCAUUCAUUUAAAAAAUAUCUCCUAAUUUUUUAAAUGAUAAACUCUACAACCAAAUCGGUUAUGUUGAAAAGAAUAUCAGUUACAAGGUUUUGCUAUGCUACAAUAGCUUCAUGUUGCAAACUUAUGUAUAUGUCUUUAAGCUUAGUAUUUUAUGUAUCUAAAGUAUGUGAAAGAUUUAUUUAUUCUUGUUUAUUUUAAAUUUUCAUACCAUUCUUCUGUUAAUGAAAUUAAAAAUUGACUAUUAAGUAUCGUUCAACCUUUUUCGAUGGAAGCAAAUUCAAAGAAAAUAAAGUAUGAACUCUAAGUACUGAUUCAGCACACAUAUUCUUAAAAAAACCCAUUAUCCAUUUUCUGUUUUGAAAAGAGAACAUCAAAACCAAUUAUUAUCCAAUAAUCUUUGUAUUUACAACACAUGAUAUAGUAGAAAGAUAAACUCUCUAUCCAAAAAAAAAAAAAAAAAAAAAAAAAAAAAUCAGUCUCAGCCAAUAGAUUACAAUUUACCUUUAAUCAAGUCCAUUACAUACCAUAUUGAAUGAUGUAAGAACAUGUGCAUCAAUUUAAUGAUAACUUUGAAAAAAAAAAUACAUCUUACUCAAAAGCAAGCAACAUUCAUUGUAAUAACAUAAUAAAAUACAAAAAAAAAAAAAAAAAAAAAAAACCUCACAAUUAGCCUUGAAUUAAAAAACUGGACAAUGUGUCUUUUACAAAUUGGUUCCACUUUUUCAACCACAUAAUUUAUACAUCUCAUGUACAAAAUUACUCUAUGUAAUAGUCAUUUGCACUUAAAAACAAAGUCAUUUAGACAAUCCUGAGUGCACAUGCAAUGAAUGAGAAAAUCAACCUUAAAAAUGAUACAACACACAAUGCUAAGAUACAUCAUAUUCCCAUCAUGUAUGUGACAAGGACAUAUUAAUUUAUUUUUACUUCAAAGACAUGCUCAUAAAAAACAAAAAUAGAAAAACACAACCUCCCCAUUACAUUUGACAAACAUCGUUGGAUUAGAAAUACAAACCUUGUGGGAAAUGACAACAGAAGCAUCAUGUACUAGCUCUACAGUAAUGUCAUUAUUCUUGCCUUCUUGCCAUAUUGAGCCCCUACUUGAGAGCUCAAUUUAUGAAUGAAGUUUGAAUGAACCCAUCAUUGAUCAAUCACCAAUUCCUUUUUUUUUUUUGCAUAGGUAGUCAAAAAUCACCUCUUGGGAUUCCCAAUCUGAGUCUGAGAAAACCUUUGAAAGAAAUCCCCAAAAAACAUGUUCAACAUUUUAUCUUAACAGAAAAAUGUGCAUGCAGACAGAGCAGUACCUCUGUGAAUUUAUACACAAGUGGGCCAUGGAAAGUGGUCAAGACCAAAGUAAUAAAAUUUAUAGACUCCAGGGGAUAUAGCACAUUGCUUGGCUUACCUCAGUGUGGAUUAUUGAUGGUUGAAUAUCACACUAAGUCAAAAAAAUAUCUCACAAUAAGUGAAAUAUUAAAAUGUUCUACAUUGUAGUAACAACACAACAAAAUUAGAUAUGAAGUGCACAAUUAACUCCCAAAUAUCAACAAUUGAACCAUAAGUUUGUAUAAUACAACAAUCACACAAACACAAACAAGGAUUGCUUGUCAACAUGAUACUUGACACAUAACGCAAAUCAAAGAGAUUUUAAUGAACCCAUGAUAAAAACUAUGUUUAAAAAAACUUGUUGACGAAUUUUGCUGUACCCAAGUUGCUACAUGAUCAAUAACUAUGCAAAGAUAUAAAUACAUUUUAAUUGACCAUAUGUAAAUCAUGUACAAAAUGAAAACCUCAUAAAAUAAAGACGCAUUCAUGUAAAUGAAAACACAUAUUCUACUUCAAAUGAUCCCCUUCUACUUUGUGAAAAUGUCCAGGGGAAAAAACAAACAAAGAAACUGCUUUCACAGUUUCCAUAAUAACAGCUCAUAACCAGUGAAGGUCAACAAUAAAAACUAUUCUGCCAAGGCCCUCUAAAACAAUAAAACAAAACAUCUAGAACUACCAAAAACAACUACAAUUAAUCACAAUCCAAAAAAGGUUCCAGUCCAUCAUCCACUGUAAAUAUGUGUUUCCAGGACAUGACGGUCCUGACUACAUGCAAACUAAAUUUCCUCACUAUCCGAAGUCAAAAUAUAAUCAAGGACGUUCUGGAAACCAAAUAUUCACAACAACUCUAAAAUUAUAAAACUCAAAGUACUGACGAGGACUACCAGGAAUAAAAACAAAGCUAUAGGAAAGAAGACAUACAUCCAUUUAAAGUCAGAAGGCAAAAAUACGAAGUAACAAAGACAAAUCCAACAACAACAAAGUACGAAGCAUAAAAAAGCCAUUUCGAAGAUGCAGAAACAUAGAUGUCGCAAUCGCGGUGAACGAAACCGCCCGAUAGCACACCCGCUAAACGACGGUCUUCGGACGCCCCUCAUCGGACGCUGAUGGCAAAGGCCCCCACCUCCACGCGUGGGUUCCCCGCUGCUGACCUUUCCUUCGCUUCUAUGUUGUGGCGCCUGGGUUAAUCGGCGACCAGUGUGUGUGCAUCGGUUGAUGCGAAGUAGGAGCGUCACGGCCAUGCGAGUGAGUGCGGGGAGGAGGACGGUAGUGCCGCGGAGCAAGAAGAGCCUGAAGCCAGCCCUGCGUUGAACGUCAUCCUCGCGGGACCCGAGUCAAGGCUGCUGCUGCGUCGCAUUGAUUGUUGGGUGGGAGGGAGUGCGGUGCAUUUCCCCGAGCGUUUAAAGGUUAGGUCUGAUCGUCUAGGGGAGGAAGAAAGAAGAGGGGGAGGGAGAGGGGGUAGGAGAGCGAAAGUUCCGAGGUUGGAUAGUAGACUUGGGCGGGUGCGGGCGCGGGGCAGUGAGUAAGGGAGGGAGAUGAGCGUGAGGUGCCGAAGCGGAGGGAGGGAGGGAGUUUGAGUGGCGGUGGUGGCGGUGGUGGAGGGUCGCGAGCUGGAGGAUAGAAUGUUGGCAGUGUUGCAGAGGCAGCAGGAACGACAGUUCAUCGGAGGGGGAGUGGAGUCGGCGUUUAUGAGUGGUGGUGCGGGGGGGUUGUCAUCGCUGGAGGGCGGGGUGUCGUCGCAUGAGUCGAUGGUGGACUACGUGCCGAUGUCUCAGCACAUGCAGACGCAGCAUGCAAUGCGGCGGCUGAACUCGUUCUCGCCGUCGGUGUCGAAGGAGGGCGAGGGCGCGAUGAAUGGCGUGUCUCCGCAGGUGUUCCAGCGGAGCCAGAGCUUCGGGGGCGGGGGAGGAGGCGCGACCGUGCAUUCGCACGCGUUCAACAACCUGUUUUCGAGCCCGCCGAGCUCGCCCGUGUCGAAGGGCGAGUGUCUGGGGCUGUCGUUGCUGGAGGAGGAGUCGCUGAUGGAGGUGGGGGGCGGGAAAGCGAGUUUCUUCGAGGAGGUGGGGAAGGGAGGCGGACGGGCGGAGCUGCGGGGGCUGAGCUUGGCUCCGGGGUCGCCACUGGGCGGGGGCGGCUCGUCGAUGGGGUCGCCGACAUUUUCCGAUGCGCUGUUCAACAAGUUUCUACCGUCGAACAACGAGGACGAGGAGGCGUGGCCGGCGGUGGACAUGUACGGGUGCGAUCAGUUCCGGAUGUUCGAAUUCAAGGUGCGGCGAUGCAUGAGGGGGAGGAGCCACGACUGGACGGAGUGUCCGUUCGCACAUCCCGGGGAGAAGGCUCGGCGUCGCGACCCGCGGCGGUUCCACUACUCGGGCACGGCGUGUCCGGACUUCCGGAAGGGGAGCUGCCGACGGGGGGAUAUGUGCGAGUUCGCGCACGGGGUGUUCGAGUGCUGGCUGCAUCCGGCUCGGUACAGGACGCAGCCUUGCAAGGAUGGGCGGAACUGCCGUCGUCGGGUGUGCUUCUUCGCGCACACGCCGGAGCAGCUGCGGUUGCUGCCGGCGGCCGCACAGGCAGCGACGACGGCCGCUCGGAACGGAGGGUCGUACGACGGGUCGCCCCGAGCGAGUGUGGCGGCGAGCUACGACGGAGCGUUCGCGUACGAGGGGGUGUCUUACGACGGGGCAUCGGUGGGGCUCGUCGGAUCGGCUUUGAGCCACUUCUCGGGGUACUCGAGCUCGGGACACUCGGGGGCGGGGUGCGUGGCGUCGCAGAAUUCAUCACCUCGGUCGACGCUGGUCGGGCACGCCCAGUAUCCGGCGCCGCUGUCUCCUCCGCUGUCGCCUUCGGGGUCGCCUCCGCUGUCACCCGGUUCGCCAGAAGAAUGGGCGGGGAGCGGGGGCGCGUUUGCGAGCCUGUCGAUGUCUGGGAUGUCGGGAGCGCAGUCGGCGAUGUCUCUGCAGGCGAGCCUGCAGCAAGCCGCGCAGGUGCGGUCGCUGGGCGGGCACGCGCAGCCGUGCACGGUUCCGGCACAUCGGCGGCAUUUGGAUCGGUUGAACUCGAUGCCGACGCUGUCGAUACCGAGCGCGGGGGAGCAUCGGGGCGUGCACUCGGGCGGGCAUUUGGGGGUGCAUCCGGGGUCGGCCCCGUCGUCGCCGUCGGGGGUGGCGCAGAAGUCGAUGAUGGAGUUGAUCGCGACGCUGCAGCAGUUGGAGGUGCGGGGGGCGCCCCCGGGAUCGGCAGCGCAGUGGUUGCAGCAGCAGUACACGACGGGGCCGUCGCCGCUGCGGCGUUGCUCGCAGAGCGUGCCCGGGACGCCGACGAAGGUGUCGGCGCGGUGGGAGCAGAAGGAGCGGUGGGAGGUGGACGAGAACGACGAGGGGGAGCCGACAGUGCAGCGGGUGGAGAGCGGGCGGGAUCUGCGGGCGAAGAUAUACGGGCGGCUGGGGAGGAGUUCUUUGAAGGAUGCGGGGCCGGCGAUGGGAGAUUCGCCAGAUCUGGACUGGGUGAACGAUCUGGUGAAGGAGGAGCCGGAGCAGUCGGCGGCGUGGUGAGGGGAGAGGCGGGAGGAUGCGAUGCGAUGCUCCGCGCUUGGGUUAUGGUGGUGUUGCGUGCGGAGUGGUUUCUGCGGUGCGAAGGCGGAGGCGUGGAGGGUGUGGAAUGUGGGGCGCAGGGUUGGUGGAUAGGAGGGCGGGGUAGGGAGGGGGAUUAGAGUGGGAGGUGGUAUUUGAUGAAUAUUGGGUUGGGAGGGGACGGGUGCGAGUAUGUGAAUAGGCGGAGCGGGGAAGUGACAUGGGUAUGGCGUGGAGGGACUGAUGUUGCGCCUGUGUAAGAGCGGGGAGGGGUUGUGAUUGCAGCCGUGACAGCGGAGGAGGGUGGAGGACGUUGCUGGUCGCCCCUUUUGUCGGGGAGGAAUUGGCACAGGAGUUGAUUUGGGGGUUGGGGGGGGGGUAUAUUGUUGAUUACGGUAGGGGGAUGAGAAUGGGCCGGAAGGUGGUGGCAAUGGACCAUCGGAGGGCGAUGGAGAGCGAGGGGUGAUGAUAUUAUACAUAUUUGGGACUAUUGGUGUGCGCACCUGAGAGGAGCAGGCGGUGCGGAGGUAGGAGAUUGACGUAAUGAGAAAUUAUUAUUCUGCUCGGUUUUGGCCGCCCCAAAAGGAGCUGGGAGAAGACACGAGACGGGGCGAUACCCAUUUUUUUGGAUUUUUCACUCAAAUUGUGAUUGUAGGUAGGCAGGCUUUUGUUGAUUUACCAAAAGCAGGAUUGUAGUGGUAGAGACGGAGGAGCAUGCAUGUGGAUACUUUUGUGUACAUGCCAAGGGAGUUGAGAUUGUGACGUUAUGGAGCGUGGAGGUCUGGGAGGAAAGUAGACCUUAGUGACAGGAGAGUCUAGUCAUACGACGGAUCGACCUAUCUCAAUUCGGAAGGACAAUGCGCCGAUCUAUUUGCCUAGGAUUAAAAGUGUACAUUCAUUCAUGAUGUCAUGAUGGCGAUGGCUUUUGUAAUAUAUGUUUCUCUGCCCUGCACAUUGAUUUUUGCGGUACGGUGUGUAUGUGUGACGGCGUGUAUGGCGGGAGGGAGAGAGUGGCUCUGUGGGUGGUUGUGUGAUGGGUAGGGUUGGGCGCGUCGUGGCCGUGGAGCAGUCUUUGCAGUUUGGGUGCCCGCCGGGUGUGGAGGGUGGGAGGGAUUGCUUUUUUAUUUAGUGUAUGUUUGUGGAGUCGCGAUGGCGUGUGGUUGGAAUUGGGUUGGGGCGGGACGUGUUGUCUGAAGGACGCUGAUCUUGCGGGUAUCUGGGUUGGAGCGUGAUCGUGUGAGGUGGAAGGUGGUGCGGCGAGGGUUUGGGAUGUUGGUGUUGUGAAGCUGGGUGGAUGUGUUGGCGAGAGGGUAUGGGGUGGAGGAAUGGAGUAGGGGUUUGUUGACGUGGAUGUGACUGUGGUCGUUGCAGUGUACGCUGUGGUUGUGUCGAGUUUGUGAAAGGGGAGGAGGCAGAGUGUAUCUUCUUGGAGAUUCAGGGACAACGCUGCUUUCUUGCUUUCGAUUGAGUAGCGGUACCGUGGAUUUAUACUGUUGCUGGUUAGUUUUUCUUUUAAUAUGCAUUUAACCUUGUCUCGUGGGUUUUUUUUUUUUUUUUUUUUUUUUUUUUCCCUUUCUUUCUCGCUUUUUUUUGCAUCUGUUAAGGGAUUUUCGUUUAUUUAUUUAUUUUGUUUUGGUUUUAGGGUUGAAAGUAUGGUCAGCUUAUCUCUGUAGCUCAACUUUGAUUCGUUCUGUUUUAUUAUAUUUGGGUGAUGUGGAUGUUGUUGUGAUUGUAUGUUGACCGGUUCAAUUCCUCGGAUUAUAUUUUCCAUGAGUUGACGGUGAUUUUGGUUUUCGUUUGUCGUACAUCCCUUUAUUUGUAGAUUUGGUUCUAAGUUUUCUAGCUAGUUUCGUGAAGUGGAGCCUGUAGGUAUUUUGUGUAAUUUCCGGCGUCGUUGUGUAAUUUCCGGCGUCGUUGCGUUCUGAUUCCGGCACUGUCUCUUUUUUUUCGUUUUCAACGAUUGUACGAUGUGGUUGGUUGUGUAUCUCCAGUUUUUUUUUGAGGUUUAUUUAUUUAUUUGUUUUUCCAACUAUCUUUUGUUAUUGUUGUGUAUUCCGCUUUGCUGAAGCAAUUGUGGAGAAUGUUCUUCGAAAUGUUUUAUUUGGCGUCUGGAAUGCUUCCCCAGAGUUUGUCAGGCGGAUGUAGCUCUCAAGUUUGGCAUUGUAUAUUGACUUGUCGCUGUAAGUGUAGCCCUGAAUUCUCUAGAGUACGUAUUUUUAUACCAUCAGGUCACUGUGGUGUGGUUUGGCUGAAUUGAGGAUCCAAAACUGAUCUUGAUUUGUUAUGACGCGUUUGUCUGUUUCGAUCCACAGUCACUCACUGUAAACUGGGAUAUGGCAGUUCGAAUGGAAUGGUUAUCUCAUUCACCGAGAAUGGGCCGUCUACUGUGGUUGCUGGACUGGGAGUCAACAUCGACCACGUCUGGCAUCGCACUCGUGCUCAUUAGAUUGAGGAUUGGAGCAAAGUUAUGAGACCGAAGAUUGCGCGCAAUCUGACAGUCAUCAGUAUUUAUGACGAUCUAGACUUCAAUGGUAAGAUUCUGCAGUCAAUGAUUCCCCUCUGCUUAAAAGAUAACUGCGUGCUUUGUCACUUGACUAUCAGAAUUGCAGUGUAUGGUGUGGUUUUCAUUGUGCUUGAAAGAUUAUGCACUAAUUGGCAUCAACCUCCCAGGAGCUACAUCUCAACAGCUUACUUUGCAAUAUGCGGAUGAUACGUCAUUCUUUGUCCGUGCAAAAGAACAAGUGAAAACAUUGAUUGAUAUCCUCGACACCUUUGCCUUGGCCUCCGGACUAGUGAUUAAUUGGGCAAAAUCCAGUGAUUAUUGGGUGAGUAAACACGAUCCUCGACUUGCAUGGACGAAUGCAUACGAUUGGGUCUGGGUGUGGGAUGGGCACAUAGCUAAACUACUAGGCAUCUUAUUUGGGCUCUCCAUUAGUACACCUGAUAUUGACAAUUUAUUAAAAGGAAAGAUCUAGCAGAAACUCACAUUUUUGGUCUCAACAAAAUUGUCUUAAGCAGGACACAAACUCGUUGUAAAUCAAAUUCUACUAUCAACACGCUAGUACUUCGUGGGGGUAUGAACAUGCUCACGGAAGGUUAUUAAACAAAUCAAGGCUCUCCUCAGGAACUAUCUUUGGACUGGAAGAGAACAUCGUACAAGUGCAUGAGUGGCGUGGUUGACAUGAAUCCUCAAAAAGCAAGAGAAAGUAAGCAUCACUGACUCGGAAGAUGCAAUGGACUGUCUCCUAAACAAAUAGAUCUUGAAAGCUCUCGAACUGAAGAAGUGUAACCUGACUGCCCUCCUUUGGUACAAGCUUGCCACAUUUCAACCGAACAAAGGCGGGAGAUGGAGCAAUGAUCUAAACUUGGCGAUGCUUACAAGACACAUACACUCAAGCGGAUCUAUUAUAUGGGCCCAGAUUGGCAAAACAUGGAAGAAACUAGCAAAAGUAAUCCAGUAGCGUAAGCCACAUACACGCGCUGAAAUCACCAACAUCAGACUCUGGUUUAGUUCGAAAUUUGUGACAUCAAUACACCCUACAAUCACAAUGGUUCAAAGGGCCACAUGGUAUAAACGUGAGUGCAGACAAAUUAGAGAUUGCAGAGCAGAAGAUCAGACCCAAUACCUUGCCUCAGAAGCACGGAUUUGGUUUCACUCGAGUGAGGAUGAGCAGCCCUAGUGGAACAUCAUAAUAACAACCAUCCAAUAGGAGUUUGGGCUGCUUUUGAACAAUAUCCCACCCACCACCAAAGUAGGCGGCUAGCUUGGCCUAUAUAAAUGAGACUCCUUGCUGCAUCCAAUUCUAGUCACCCAAGCUAUCCCAAGUUUCUGCCCACCUUUAGGAAUGGAACAAUCCGUUGCCUAUUCCAAAUUCACCACCAAUACCUUUCGAGUUGGACCUGUGGAUCAGAUCCUACAUCCCACAUCCAACCUAUCCUCCUGGAUCCAAUACACUCCACACGCAUAUAACACAAGGGCCAGUGAUACCCCCAACCAAGGACAUGCUGAUCUGCAAGAUAGAGAAAAUUCGGGUUGUAUCGGUGUAAUACAGUUCCAAGAAAACGGUGAUCCGUUUCUUCUACGGCUCCUUCUCCAAACUCGAGUUCAAUCUUGAUAGACAUAGAUAGGAAGGCAACACACCAAUCUUCCAGUUCACCCCAUGAACCGCAAGAACAUGGGUAUCAAACUUGACCAACCCCAUAUCUCUCUGUACAACCAAAUAUAAAGGCCCUCCCUACAUUGAAACUUAAUUCAUGCCAAAAAAGAAAAAGAAAAAAAGAAAAAAAGAAAAAAGAUUAUGCAGUAAUGUUUGAAACAGAGGCCAACAAGUUCUUUUAAAUACAUUACCACCCAUGAGUUGGAUUUAUCUACUCUUGGAUUUGAGUGUAGUAUGCAAUUUGGAGAAAAGUAGUGUUAGAUUUAUUUCAAAACAAUGAUAUGUCUUUCUUUUUAUGUUUUUUGAAAUAAAAGGGAUUUCACUUUUUUAAUUAAAAAAAUUAGGUAAAUAAUAUAGUCUUAAAUAGGUCAUCAUUAUGACUAAAUUAGGCCUAUCUUAGGAGAUAGAGUGUAAUUUCACCUCAAUUAGAAUUUUGCAUCUUUUAGUCUUAUCAUAUUGUGUCUUAUAACUUUUUAAAGAAUUAAAAACUAUUUUAUAACUUCUUGUUUAUUGUAAUUAAUUUUUUCUUCCAAAAACUUAUAUUGCAGUUAAUUAGCUUAUGCUAGAAUAAAAAGAUUGUAAUAUCUUUUUUCUAAGAUUUUUCUUUAAUAAUCACAUAUUUUCUUUGUUUUGAUGUAGUAUAAUACUUAUAAUAUAUAUAGGAGAAUGAUAAAACAAUCCAAAUUUUUAUUAAAGCAAUUCACCUUCUUUGUUCUCAAUCCUGCUUCUUCUAUUUCCAAUUUUCAAUCUAAACACCAUUCCUAGCUUUCAUCACGGUGUCGUAUUGUGACACGACUAUAUGGUGAAAAUAUGACAAAAAAAAUGAUAUUUUAAUUAAUAUUCUAUUAUCAUGGUUCAACAAGCAUUCAAUAUAUUUUACAAGGCUUUUAUAAAAGCCUCUAAUCCUAUUUUCUUCACUUAAUAGCUAGUAGAUAAAAACUAGUUAGUAAUUUUACCUUCUAGGCUGUAGUAACUUUUUUAUUGCCUUAGAAAGGCCAUAAAAUGGUAAAGAAAGGAUAAAAAGGAUAAUUUAUUAGCAUGGUUGAUACUAGGGUUAAGUUGAGGGUAGGAUCGGGCUAUAAAACCACUAGGAUAGAUUAGAUUGAUAUCCGGGGGUCGGCCGGAUAUGAGACAGGGUCGAAAUCCGACCUCCAACCACUAAAACGGCAGCCUAGGGCAAAAUACGGGGGUUUUUUCAGAUCGGGUUUUUGGAUCGAAGAGCUAGCUUCAAGCUCUUUUCAAGGUCACUAGUUCGGUUUCAUUAGGAUUUGUGAGAGGAGAGCAAUCGCUGCUCAAAGUCAGUGUUUAUUUUGGUGUUUCGGAUUUUAUAUAAAACAUUGAUGGUUUGCAUUCUCAAUCGGUUUGUGCAAGUCGUGUAGCAUCUAUGGGUCAAAAUUUGGUAUUGUCUGGAUAGUUGGGUGUGCUAAGUGUAUACAAAAAUUUGUGUUAAUCUAACGAUGCAAUCAAGAGAUAUCUGGGUUUUAGUACAAAAGGGUUGUCGGAAGUUGGCAGUCUAGGGUUGGAUAGGGUUUCUGUGAUAUUUGAAGAUCUAUUGGUUGGAUCGACGUAAUUUUUGGCUUGGUAAUAGAAGAUUUGGAGAUCAAGCGGCUAUUCAAUUUUGAGCUGGAGUUAACGGUUGACAAAGGAGAAAUCACUUCUAGAGUUUCUACAUCAAAUUUCAAGGUUCCGCCGAGUGUCAUUAGUGCGGUUUUUGGGCGUUUUCUUGCAAUCUGUAAGUUGGAUUGGGCUGAAAUUUUCUGAGCAUAUAGAAGGCUUAUACUGGUAUUUGGGUGCAAAAUUUCACACUAAGUGGACGGUUGGAUCAAAAGUUACAGCUUGUCAAAGCUCACUUGCUAGAGUUAGGGCUUGUUAAGAAAAACAAAAACAACUUAAUUAUAAAAGAAAUAAAGCAAUUGGAAUAUUGUAUGGUUAAAAUGACUAUGAGGAGUGUUUUUAAAUACUUGGAAAUUGAUAUUUCAAUUAUAUUCUUCAUACAUGGAUAAAAUCUAUUAGGGUUUCUUUGUUAUUUGCAAAAACAACUAUACCUUCCACAACCAGAUAUCCAAUGUAUUGCCGAACAAGACAACACGUAAUACAACAGCGGUGAUGUGAGGAUCUGCAAGCAUGAUGUGGCAUUUGUUGGACAAUCGGAGGCUAUGAUGACAAUUGACAACUCCCUCUAUAAAUAGUAGUAAAGACAUUACUUGGCCAUAACUAUCGAUUUUUAUUUUUGUUGCCUCUUUUGAUUUCAAAUAAAAAAAAUCGAACUAAGUAUUUUCAAAGUUAUAUUUCUAUCAUAAUUUGACAAUUUUUGUAGCUACUAAAUAUGUAGAUGGCUAAAUUCUUGUUCUAUUAUGCAUUUAUAAUAGUUGGUCUAAAAAGUCUAGAGUUAAUUAAGUCUUUGAAUAAUGUACAUUGUCACAAUGUCUAAAACAUAGAAGACCUCACCAUAUUGAAACUCCAUACCAAUGAUAGUUUACAAAAGUUCUAAUAAUUCGAGUUCAAUCAAUAUGGACAAGGGCAACAAUAUUGAAGAGGCUCUCUCAAGACAAUCAAAUAGCCAACCAGAUUCUAUAUACUUUGAGCAUUUAAAUUAACAUAAAUACUUUUCUUUCACUAGGGAUCAUCACUAGAACAAACGGAGAGAAUUAGACAUGAUGGAAAGGAAAAAAAAUGUCAAAUAAAAGAAGUCACCUUCCAAAGUAACUUCAAACUUAAGGAUAUAAAUAAAUUUGACUUGUUUGUAAGAAUUAUUCACUCCAAAAGCUAUAGAAAGAGAUGUGAUGGGAAUUUUAGUUCUUAAACAUACCUAAUUAUAUAUCUUGUAAUAAUUCACUUUUACUCAAAGUAUGAGUGUAUGUAAGUGAGUAUGAAUGAGAGAAUGAAUGAAUGAAAGAGUGAAUAAGUGACAUUGCAAAGUAAUAGUCCUCACUUUACGUCUAUGCAAACAAACUCUUAUCAUAUUGCAUAAGUGAUAUUAUAUUAAACUAAAAUAGUUAUUUACAAAGGAAAUAAUACUAAAGACUCUUGAAACAAGACCAAAUACAAAAAAGACAUUGACAAGAGUGAAGAAGGAUUUAUUCUUGCCUGUAUAUACACUACCUAAUUAAGAGCUAUAGGAUGAUAUUCUAUAAGACCUUUCAUACAUGUCUAACUUGCAUAGCCUUGACCAUUAUAUAUGGUCAUAUAUAGUUCUUCAUUCUGCUUUGAGAAAGUCUUUGUCUUAAUCUUCAAUGCUUCAAGAGCAUUAAUAAUAGAAUCUAACUUGAUCUCUUUAGAGUCUGCCAUAUUGACUUUUCCACCUUCUGCCAUAGGAAAUGAAAGAAACACAUGCCUUCAAAAGAAAAAAAAACCUUAUCUAUGAUAUAAAAAAAAGAAACCAAAAGAAUAUUAAAAAAAGAACAAUAUUAGUCUAGAGGAGGGUAAUCUGCAACCUCUAGAAUGCUAUAGUACUUCCAAGAAGAGGAGUAAUCCACUCUCUGUCAAGAAAGACCAAAAUCCUAAUAUUAUUUUAUGGCAGUCUUGAGAAACUAUUAAAGACCAUAAAUAAGACAAGGAUUCAAGACCAAGAAAUAGAAUUAGUUUGACAUUAGAACAACAACUAGAUACAAGGUAAGAAGGUCUUGGCAAGACCACAAGAAGGGAGUUGUCAAGACUGAGGAUCCCCUCAACCUCGACUCCUAUACAUACUAGGUCUUUGGAAGCUUCUUGAGAAGUUUUUACGAGGCUUGAGAAUAAAGCAAGCCUAAGAUCCUUCUUUGGCAACUUCCUAAAUCAUCUAAAGCCUCCUAGAACCUUCUAGGAUCUCCUAUGACCUAGAGCCUUCUUAGAACCUAUUUGUACCUUCUAGAACCUUCUGGAACCUUCUUCAGUUGUAUGUCCGUGACAAUUAAGGUGGAUGAAUUCUUAUUUGUAGAUAUGAAAUCAUUCUUUGAUAAAAAUUCAUUUAUAGAUGAGAAUUUAUCUUAGAUGAACUUUUAACUUGGAUAAUUUAUUAUUAUUAGAUAAAAAAAUAUUAAAAUAAAAUAAAAUCAUAUAAAAAUUUUCUUUCAAAGAAUGUAAUUUGAAGUAUUUAUUAUUGCUUAUAUUGUUAUUAUGGAUGUCUUAAAAAAUUAUGGAUGAGUUAAAAAAUUAAAGAUCUUUCAUAAAAAAAUACAAAUGCAAUUUAAUUAAUAAAAUCAUAAAUGGCUAAUAGUUAUGAAUUAGUAUAAUUCACCUACUAGAAGACUUUAUCUAGCUCAAAAUUAAAGAGAUAUGGAACUAUUAGAUACAAAUUAAUUUCUACUUGAGAAUUGUUACAAUAUUUAGAAAAUUAAAUCAUUGUGAACUAGAUUAUACUUCAAACUAAUGGGAGUUUAUUUUAGUUCACAACAUGCAUGCAAUAUUUAACUUUUAUUUCAUGUUAUAGUAGCUAUCUCUAGGAUCUCUUAUAUAAGUAAAAUAUUAUAUUCUUAAAGUUCAAUCUUCUUCAAUUUAGUUGUUUUUAUUAAAAUGAUAGUAAUUCUUAUUGAAUAGAGGAUUUUUUUUUAUUCUAUUAAAGAUAGUUAAAUAUAAAAUAAAAUUUGUUUGAAUGUACAUAUUUGAGGUCUUUAGUCAAAAGAUGCUAUGCUUUGUAUAACCAUUUCUAGAUCUUUGAAUGUAAAGAAAAUUAAGAUGAUGUCUUGAUUGUCUAAUAUAGAUAUUAAAAACCAAUUGUUGAUGUUUUGAAAAGUUCAAAUGAAUUGGAAUAUAUAAAUAUAUAUAUAUAUAUAUAUAUAUAUAUAUAUUAUAAAAUUUUGAUAAAAUGAGGUUUUUGGCAUUAAUGACUUGAAAAUCUUAAGUAUUAUAAAGACAUUUUAGGUUGUAUCUAAAUCUAUCAAACUAGAAAUUCCAUGUUGUGUACAAGAAAUUAUUUGUUAUGUGAUUUUAGUAUAAGUGUUAGUAUCCUUAUUAAAUUCAAGUAAAGUCCUUAGUUAUUUAUUUAAUAGCUUUUAUAACUUGGAUUGAUUUAAUUUAUAUUUUAAUGAAGUGGAUGAUUGAAUGAUAUAACUAACAAUUAGUAUUUUUGUAACUAGAUUGAAUUAUAAAGAAUACUAAUACUUAAGUUUUAUUUAUACAUAUUUGAUAAGGAAGAUGUUGAUGGUUGAAGAAUCUAGAUUGACUCCAAAGAGAUAAAAGAAAAUUAAAAUUUUAUAAAAUAAUCUAAUUAAAUAUGAACUUAUCAGUCCAAGGUAGUUUGGAUACAUUAAUGUAACAUAGUGCCAUAGAUUAUAACCAAUUUAUGUAUAGCCUUAAAGAGGAAUGAAAAUAUUUUAUAAUCAUAAUAACUUUUUAUUAAUAGAUUCUAUUCUCUUUAAAAAAUAUUGUAGAAUUGUCAAUAUAUUGAAUGAUAAUUACUUGGUUGUUGUAGUGUGGUAAGAUAUAUAUAUAUAUAUAUAUAUAUAUAUAUAUGAGAUCGAAAAGCAUAAUUGUCUUGAGAUUGAAAUGAAGAAUAUUUCCUACUAUCAAAAAAGUUAAGAAGAUAAGAAACAACAUUGUUUAUACCUUCAGUAGUAAGAUAAUUUGAAGAUCUUCACCCAUUUGAUAAUAAUAUGAGCUUUAACAUAAAUAAAAAGAAUCUUGGUCAUUAUAAUAAAAGUUAUUCUAAAUCUUAAAAAUAUUAUUGAUUGUAUAUAAAAGUUUGAUUAAUAAAAUUGAUUGCUUUUACAAAAUUAAACUUCAAUAAUAUAAGGCAUCACUUGAGUGCUUUGACUUAAUGUAUGUCUUUAUGAACUAAAAUCAUAUUGAUGAACUAACAUUAUGUUGAUAAGGAUAUAUUUGAAAAGAGAUAAGACACUUUGAUUUAAGCUUAUAACUUUUAAAAGAACACAUUGAUUCCUCAAUUGUAGAAUACUUAAAAACAUUCUUAUUUAUAAAACUUAAGAGAGUUAUAGGUCAAUAAUUUCCUAUUGAUUUCUAAUUACUAUUUUUGAAUAUUAGAAAAUUUUAUUCUUUCAUUAUAAAUUGAAAAAAACACUCUUCUUUGCAAAGAUUUUAAAGAACUUAAUAUUUGAUCAAUAUAUAUUAGUUGUGAAGAGAUGCAAUGUAUAUGCCUCUUGCUAGGAGUGAGUUGUUAUUUGCUAUGUUUUACACUCUAAGAUUGUUUUUCUAGACGUCUUCUUUUGAUUCUUUCAUAAAAUUUUGUCUUGGCAAGAGAUUAGUAUAUAGAAGUCAUAAGCAAAGGAGACCUUGUAUUUUAUGAUACAUGAUUGAUUAUAUAAAAAAUAGUUGAGCUUUAAAUCUAAGGAGCUUAGAAUUCCAUCUACAUUUAUUAAAUUAUAAAAAGUUGUAAUAUUCCAGAAUUGUCUUACACUACAUUAAUCAAUUUAUAUUGUAAGCAAGAAGGUCUACAAAAUAUUAUUAGAAAUAGCUUGGAUCAACCAUUGUAUUUCAUAACAAAGUGCAAUAAAAAAUUAUAGCUAUAGUAGCUAUAGUUAAAAAAAAACUAUAUAGCCUCCCAACUUUUUAAAGAGUACUUUUAUGUCAACUUUUGCAAAAGAUUAAUAGGUAUUUCCUAAUAAAUUCUUAAUAUUUCCUAAUAAAUACUUAACUAAUAAUUAAGAAAGAAUACAUAUUUAAUAUUAUAUGGUACCAUUUUUAUAAAAAAAAACGUUUUUUUCUUCUUUAAGAUCAAAAUCAUACCCCAAGAUAAUAUAUAUAUAUAUAUAUAUAUAUAAUAAUACAAUAUAAUAAAGCAUCUCCUCUAAAUGGGAGGUUCUUGCAAUAAUCAAAGCAUGUGACAAUGUAGACAAUUUCAAGGACAAUUAUCCAAUAAACUCUUUGUAUUAAAAAAAAGGGGGGGAGGGGAUCUCUAUCCAACUCAACUAUAAAGACUGAAUGUCAAUGCUAUAAAAAACUUUUUUAAAACUUACAAAUUACACAAGACUUGUGAAGACAACUUACAAAACUUUAAAAUAUUUAAAUGCUGCAUUUAUAAGCUGAAGCUCAAUUAAGUUUAAUCCUUGGAAUUUAAGGUUUUCUUAGAAUUUGUUUAGAGAUUAAUUAAUACUGAGUAGGACUUCUUCACAAAUUGCAUGAAACUUUCUUAGAAUCUAAUUAAGAAAUUGUAGAGUUUCAAAAAAAUGUAGUUCUAAUUUUGUUGAAAUUUCUAGUGGUUUGCUUAAAUUUUAUUUAGAAUUUCUGAAUAAAUAUUUAAGAUUGGAUUUGAGUCUAAUACUUAAGAAUUUAAAAUACAAAACUGACAGGCUCUUGAAUUGCCUCAAAUUAGAAUGUCUCAACAAUUAGGAACUAUUAAGUAACCUACAUGUAAAGUGCAUAUUAAUUUGACUUGUAAGAAACAGAUGGACUUCAAGUCAUCAAACUCCACAAACCAAUACAUACUCCACGAUCCACCAACACAGCAGGCCAACCAACAACUCAAUGUUUUAAAUUUUCAAACAAUAUAAAAAGGCCAAAGCAAGAUCUUUUGAGAAUAAGCAAAUAAACAAACCAAACUAUCAAGGGGCAAAAAAAAAACAAAAAGAAUCAAUACGAAGUGCUAAACAAAUAUCUCCCGGAAAAAAAAAAAAAAAAAAAAAAAUGAGGCAAGUAUACCACAAUCAGCUUCAAAAGUGGAAAUAAAAACCACCGACCGGAAAAUUCAAAACCAAAAAAAAAACAAAGUUUACGCACGCCAAGAAACAGCGUUGUCCCUGAAUCUCCAAGAAGAUACACUCUGCCUCCUCCCCUUUCACAAACUCGACACAACCACAGCGUACACUGCAACGACCACAGUCACAUCCACGUCAACAAACCCCUACUCCAUUCCUCCACCCCAUACCCUCUCGCCAACACAUCCACCCAGCUUCACAACACCAACAUCCCAAACCCUCGCCGCACCACCUUCCACCUCACACGAUCACGCUCCAACCCAGAUACCCGCAAGAUCAGCGUCCUUCAGACAACACGUCCCGCCCCAACCCAAUUCCAACCACACGCCAUCGCGACUCCACAAACAUACACUAAAUAAAAAAGCAAUCCCUCCCACCCUCCACACCCGGCGGGCACCCAAACUGCAAAGACUGCUCCACGGCCACGACGCGCCCAACCCUACCCAUCACACAACCACCCACAGAGCCACUCUCUCCCUCCCGCCAUACACGCCGUCACACAUACACACCGUACCGCAAAAAUCAAUGUGCAGGGCAGAGAAACAUAUAUUACAAAAGCCAUCGCCAUCAUGACAUCAUGAAUGAAUGUACACUUUUAAUCCUAGGCAAAUAGAUCGGCGCAUUGUCCUUCCGAAUUGAGAUAGGUCGAUCCGUCGUAUGACUAGACUCUCCUGUCACUAAGGUCUACUUUCCUCCCAGACCUCCACGCUCCAUAACGUCACAAUCUCAACUCCCUUGGCAUGUACACAAAAGUAUCCACAUGCAUGCUCCUCCGUCUCUACCACUACAAUCCUGCUUUUGGUAAAUCAACAAAAGCCUGCCUACCUACAAUCACAAUUUGAGUGAAAAAUCCAAAAAAAUGGGUAUCGCCCCGUCUCGUGUCUUCUCCCAGCUCCUUUUGGGGCGGCCAAAACCGAGCAGAAUAAUAAUUUCUCAUUACGUCAAUCUCCUACCUCCGCACCGCCUGCUCCUCUCAGGUGCGCACACCAAUAGUCCCAAAUAUGUAUAAUAUCAUCACCCCUCGCUCUCCAUCGCCCUCCGAUGGUCCAUUGCCACCACCUUCCGGCCCAUUCUCAUCCCCCUACCGUAAUCAACAAUAUACCCCCCCCCCCCAACCCCCAAAUCAACUCCUGUGCCAAUUCCUCCCCGACAAAAGGGGCGACCAGCAACGUCCUCCACCCUCCUCCGCUGUCACGGCUGCAAUCACAACCCCUCCCCGCUCUUACACAGGCGCAACAUCAGUCCCUCCACGCCAUACCCAUGUCACUUCCCCGCUCCGCCUAUUCACAUACUCGCACCCGUCCCCUCCCAACCCAAUAUUCAUCAAAUACCACCUCCCACUCUAAUCCCCCUCCCUACCCCGCCCUCCUAUCCACCAACCCUGCGCCCCACAUUCCACACCCUCCACGCCUCCGCCUUCGCACCGCAGAAACCACUCCGCACGCAACACCACCAUAACCCAAGCGCGGAGCAUCGCAUCGCAUCCUCCCGCCUCUCCCCUCACCACGCCGCCGACUGCUCCGGCUCCUCCUUCACCAGAUCGUUCACCCAGUCCAGAUCUGGCGAAUCUCCCAUCGCCGGCCCCGCAUCCUUCAAAGAACUCCUCCCCAGCCGCCCGUAUAUCUUCGCCCGCAGAUCCCGCCCGCUCUCCACCCGCUGCACUGUCGGCUCCCCCUCGUCGUUCUCGUCCACCUCCCACCGCUCCUUCUGCUCCCACCGCGCCGACACCUUCGUCGGCGUCCCGGGCACGCUCUGCGAGCAACGCCGCAGCGGCGACGGCCCCGUCGUGUACUGCUGCUGCAACCACUGCGCUGCCGAUCCCGGGGGCGCCCCCCGCACCUCCAACUGCUGCAGCGUCGCGAUCAACUCCAUCAUCGACUUCUGCGCCACCCCCGACGGCGACGACGGGGCCGACCCCGGAUGCACCCCCAAAUGCCCGCCCGAGUGCACGCCCCGAUGCUCCCCCGCGCUCGGUAUCGACAGCGUCGGCAUCGAGUUCAACCGAUCCAAAUGCCGCCGAUGUGCCGGAACCGUGCACGGCUGCGCGUGCCCGCCCAGCGACCGCACCUGCGCGGCUUGCUGCAGGCUCGCCUGCAGAGACAUCGCCGACUGCGCUCCCGACAUCCCAGACAUCGACAGGCUCGCAAACGCGCCCCCGCUCCCCGCCCAUUCUUCUGGCGAACCGGGUGACAGCGGAGGCGACCCCGAAGGCGACAGCGGAGGAGACAGCGGCGCCGGAUACUGGGCGUGCCCGACCAGCGUCGACCGAGGUGAUGAAUUCUGCGACGCCACGCACCCCGCCCCCGAGUGUCCCGAGCUCGAGUACCCCGAGAAGUGGCUCAAAGCCGAUCCGACGAGCCCCACCGAUGCCCCGUCGUAAGACACCCCCUCGUACGCGAACGCUCCGUCGUAGCUCGCCGCCACACUCGCUCGGGGCGACCCGUCGUACGACCCUCCGUUCCGAGCGGCCGUCGUCGCUGCCUGUGCGGCCGCCGGCAGCAACCGCAGCUGCUCCGGCGUGUGCGCGAAGAAGCACACCCGACGACGGCAGUUCCGCCCAUCCUUGCAAGGCUGCGUCCUGUACCGAGCCGGAUGCAGCCAGCACUCGAACACCCCGUGCGCGAACUCGCACAUAUCCCCCCGUCGGCAGCUCCCCUUCCGGAAGUCCGGACACGCCGUGCCCGAGUAGUGGAACCGCCGCGGGUCGCGACGCCGAGCCUUCUCCCCGGGAUGUGCGAACGGACACUCCGUCCAGUCGUGGCUCCUCCCCCUCAUGCAUCGCCGCACCUUGAAUUCGAACAUCCGGAACUGAUCGCACCCGUACAUGUCCACCGCCGGCCACGCCUCCUCGUCCUCGUUGUUCGACGGUAGAAACUUGUUGAACAGCGCAUCGGAAAAUGUCGGCGACCCCAUCGACGAGCCGCCCCCGCCCAGUGGCGACCCCGGAGCCAAGCUCAGCCCCCGCAGCUCCGCCCGUCCGCCUCCCUUCCCCACCUCCUCGAAGAAACUCGCUUUCCCGCCCCCCACCUCCAUCAGCGACUCCUCCUCCAGCAACGACAGCCCCAGACACUCGCCCUUCGACACGGGCGAGCUCGGCGGGCUCGAAAACAGGUUGUUGAACGCGUGCGAAUGCACGGUCGCGCCUCCUCCCCCGCCCCCGAAGCUCUGGCUCCGCUGGAACACCUGCGGAGACACGCCAUUCAUCGCGCCCUCGCCCUCCUUCGACACCGACGGCGAGAACGAGUUCAGCCGCCGCAUUGCAUGCUGCGUCUGCAUGUGCUGAGACAUCGGCACGUAGUCCACCAUCGACUCAUGCGACGACACCCCGCUCUCCAGCGAUGACAACCCCCCCGCACCACCACUCAUAAACGCCGACUCCACUCCCCCUCCGAUGAACUGUCGUUCCUGCUGCCUCUGCAACACUGCCAACAUUCUAUCCUCCAGCUCGCGACCCUCACCACCGCCACCACCGCCACUCAAACUCCCUCCCUCCCUCCGCUCCGGCACCUCACGCUCAUCUCCCUCCCUUACUCACUGCCCCGCGCCCGCACCCGCCCAAGUCUACUAUCCAACCUCAGAACUUUCGCUCUCCUACCCCCUCUCCCUCCCCCUCUUCUUUCUUCCUCCCCUAGACGAUCAGACCUAACCUUUAAACGCUCGGGGAAAUGCACCGCACUCCCUCUCACCCAACAAUCAAUGCGACGCAGCAGCAGCCUUGACUCGGGUCCCGCGAGGAUGACGUUCAACGCGGGGCUGGCUUCAGACUCUUCUUGCUCCGCGGCAUUAUCGUCCUCCUUCCCGCACUCACUCGCAUGGCCGUGACGCUCCAACUUUGCAUCAACCGAUGCACGCACACUGGUCGCCGAUUGACCCAGGCGCCACAACAUAGAAGGGAAGGAAUGGCCGGCAGCUGGGGAGCUUGCGCCAAGGCGACCGUUGCACGGAGGGCGGCGUCCGGGGGGUUCCCGUUUCGGCAUUUGAACCCGUGCGCAUGCAAUGAGAGCGUGGUCUUUGUUGAGCGCCCGGCCCGCGAUUUCCGAGUCUCCGAGUGUUUGUUUAGGGGUUGUUCAUCCGCUUGAAUGAGUGAAGACUUGAUCGUUCCUCACAUCUCAACUUUUAGCAAACUGGGAGCUUUAGUUUUCUGGAUCGUCUUUAGAUUAAUGCAGUUGGUAAUCUUACGGGUUUUCUAUCUUACUUCGAUAUUGGUUAUUGCUUCAGCCAUUUUUAGGCUUCGUCCACACAAGUUCCUGCUCUGGUGGCUUUUCCUAAAUUGAUUUAUGUUUGGGGUAUAUUCUAGUUCUGUGUGGUGUCAACUGGUUAGGUUUCAGAUUUAUGGAUUUUCUAAUGCUUUCUAUCGUGACUGGUGUGGCUCGAAAGGAAUAUUUUGUUCCGGAGAACAGCAAAACUGUUGCUGAGUUUUUUCCAAGAGGUAUCAUUGAAGGAACAGUUUAUACCCCAGGGUUUUGGUGUGUAAUCUGUAUUUCUUCGUUUACAAUUUACGAAUUGGAGGCUCGGGUUGAAUAAGAUGUUUUCCAAGGCUGCAUUCACUUUGAAGCUCUACCCCUGUACAUUUCAUAUUGGAUUAUGUUAUAAGUUUUUUCAAUGAUCUUGUGAAAGUUGGAGUCUUUGUCUGGAGGAUCCAAAACUUGUUCAUUAUGCACAUCCUUUUGCCCUAAAUGAGUUGCAGCAGUUGUGUUUCGUUUUUUUCGGUUUCUUUUAGUUGCUUUUUACGUUCUCUAUCAAAAUGUGAGUUGAAUGUUAAGAUUUUCUGUGGGACGUUUAUUAGUUUAAUAUGAAUUUAUUUCUAAUGCAACUGUUGGAUCAUAAACCAUUUUUUAUUCUUUAUUUUUAUUUUUUUGUUGAAUGAGUCAGAAGCCAAGAUGCAGUAGGUUGGAGCUCAUUCUUAUUCCAUUAUUGGUAGCUGUUUGUCCACAUAUCAAAGUUUUUUGUCAAUGGUAUUUAGAUACAUGUGUGGUAAACAUAAAUAUCUAUAUAGUUAUUGUUUGGAAAGCAAGGUAGGGGUGGGGUAACAUAAACAUCCCAGUUUAAUCACACUAGUUUUUAUUCUUUUAUUUUGUUUGUUUUUUGCUUUCUUUCUUUCUUUUUCCUGCAGUUCAUGUUCCAUUGCCAGGAUUAGGGUUUAGGGUACUUGCAUUUUCUAUUAAAUUUACAAGCUUAGUUUUAUUCUCAUUUCAAAUUAACUCUCACUGUGUUUGGAGGUAUUCAAAACUCUAUUAUAAAUUUGUUGAAGCUUGUAACUCAUUGCCCCUCUUGGUCAAAAGAAACUCAUUUAUGUUCCAAAACAACCUCAAUAUCUUUGUGUUAUCUAGCCUCCAUACUUUCUUCUCUUUGUUUAUUUGUUUGUCCUUUACUCUUUGUUUUCUUGGCUCAAUUAAAUUCUGCUGUAAAACAUUUAAUGUUUCAUUAUCUGGACUAUGUAUAUUUUGGUUUUGUUUAUUCAUUUAUCUACACUUAAAAAAAAAAACAUGGACACAGCAACAACAACAACAACAAAAAGAACACAAAUCAAAACAUACAAACUAAACUGAGUUGGAAAUUAUGCAUUGAGCUGACUAUGAUGAGGUUUUGUGGCUGCCCAUUUUGUAGCUGAGAGUAUGGCAGGCAGGAGCUUCCAUUGCCAAUGCCAAUGAAGAGAUGCAAGUGAUAGCCUUUCUUCUUUGUAUCCAAGCUUCAAGUCAUAAAAAAAUGAUUAUGGAUCCUACACAUUGUGAUGUUUUGUGUGCCCAUAUCAAGAUGAGCUUUGUUGUUUUGCCAGGCAAAAUAGAAAAUGUUUCCAUAAGUGAUUCCUAGUCUCCAAACUCAAUGUUGUUAAAGAGGAUUUUUCUAAGUGUAUUUUGAAUACUUAAAAAAUAAAGCUACGAUGAUAUGAUGGGAAGAUGGUAUGAUGAUAUGAGGAUAAGAUGGUAUGAUGAUAGUAAAAAUUUCAUUUUGUUCAUCAGAAUUUAAAAAUAUUGAAAUGAUUUUAUUUUCAAAAACUUUAAGUACCUGCAGAAGACUACAAAUAUGCACUUGUAAUUUUAUACAAUUGAGAACAAAAAUAAAAUAGAAUUGUAUAGUUUUAAACUUAGACAAUACAUGACGUUUUCUUUUUUUACCAUGCAUCUAUGUACAGUUCAAUAUAUAUAGCCAAAGAAUCUUAUUUAAAGAAAUAUAUCAUUUACAAAAAAAAAAAUCAAUGGAUCAAACCUUUUGAGGCUUUGAAAAGUUUCAAAAACCAUUUAAAGUACCUGAUUGUCAUUACUUUCUGAUUUUUUUGCAUGAAAAACUUGUCUCAUGUUCAUUAACACUGACUAAUUUGAAUUCCUACAUUCCACCAUAAGCAAUUUAUCUAUAAAUAGUAGUUUAUGUUGUGACAAAAAUCCUACAAAAAUCAAUGUGAUGUGAACCUAUUGCAACAUCACGAAAACAGAAAUUAGAAAGUAUAAAUGAUUUAAGAUAUUCAAAUUGCAUUUCCUGUUUGUAAAUAAUUAUUACUAACUGUGCAUAUGAUUGCAGUUGAUUUUACUAAGAUGUUACAAAUAUAUAUAUAUAUAUAUAUAUAUUGUUUUCAAAUAUUCAACAUUAAAGUUUUAUAAACAAUACUACCAAAGUUUAAACUUGGGAAGAGAUGAAGAUUAAAUUAAAAAAAUGAAGCACAAGAUUGCUCAAGAGUAUCUAACCAUCUACACAAGCCAGGAUAAACAUUCCACACAACAAACAAAAAAUCCAAGAAGAAUAUGGAUGUCACAAACAUACAACAAGAUUCAUUUUAAAGAACUUUUAACAUCAUAUUAUACAUUUAUUUAUAGGAUUUUAUAUUACAUUGAUUUCUCUUAAUAUUUUUCAUUUAAUUUCCUCUUAAGUUUAGGUGUUUUAGUAAAAAUAAGUAAGAAAUUUAAAAAAGGAAUAAUAAAUAAUUAAUAAGGAACUUCGAUAAUGUCAAUGAUUGUUUUCGAAAUUAGCCAGGUACUUCUCGGUUCAAAAAUUUAUCACACAGUAUGUAUUUUAUAUCUUCCAAACCUCUCAAUUUUUUGUUGUUUUGUUGUUUUGUAUUUGCUCACAACACCAUUAAACAUGUCUGAAAUAUAGUAAUUUGAAGAUGAAAUAUAUCAAAUGUCUUGCAGUAGAAUUAUAACAACAUAUGUUGAAUUAUUGCACCACAUUAUUGAUGAAUUUUGGUGUGUGCAAUAAUUCAACAUUUUUUUUUAACAGUAUGUAGAAUUCUAAAAAAAUAAAAAAAUAAAAAAAAAUUAAAUUUAAAAUUUCAGCUAUUCUAUAUGGAAAAUGUAUAUUGAAAUGAAGACAUGAGCAUGUAAACAUUAAAAAUAUUGUGCACAGCCAACUUUGUGUGUAAAAUCCUACAAUACACAAUGUUUAUCACAUAUGUAUAAUUUACUAGUGGUGAGUAUGUGCUGAGAACACAUAAUAGUUAAAUAUAGAUCACACCAUGUCAAUGUAAUAAAUAAAUAAAAAAAUACAUUACAAAAAUAUGGUAUUGUAUGUGAAGCUUGCUUGCAUCCCAUACAGUUUAACUUCAACUACAUUUUUUUAUAUAAGGUAACAAAUGCCAUUGGUAAAUUCCUUUAAAUGCCCACUUGUUUUGAAUCUUGUUGUUUUUUAAGCAUCAUAUACAUCAAUUUAUUUUAUUUUAUUUUUUCGUUUCUAGAGGGGAAGUACAAUUGAAUGUUUUACAUGAUAAUGUAAAACUUUAGGCAAUUGAAUAAAUGAACUUUACAAUAUACAUAAUCUAAUUUCUACCAUGUCAUGUUUGUAACAAAAUAAAAAGUUCAAGUACUUUUGUGCUUUUUAAAAAAACUAAAUUGCACUCCGUGCAUAUUAUUCUUUCACAAAAAAGGCUCAUACCAACAAACCACAACAAUCUUUUUGGCAAAACCCAAAAAAGUCAAUCAAUGAAUAACUGCAUGUAUUGUUUUCAAAUGCACAAAAACUCUUACCUCCUAUUUAAAAACUGUAAACCACUACGACAAAACAAAAAGAAAAAAAAACAGAAAGAAAAAAAGACGAGCAUAGUCAACCUCAUUUAUCCUGUGUUCCUCCUAAUAGCUUUUCUCAUGCUCCUAAUAACUUUUUUAAUUUUUAUUUUCGAUUUUUGGUUUCUUUGCAUUUGGAUUUGUUUUUUGUUUGUUUGUUUGUUUGUUUGUUUUUUUUUUUUUUUUCCAUUGUUGGAUUUAAAUCUUCAUCCUAAGUCAACCUACCACAAGGGGUGGUGCACUAAAAAUUCCAAGUGCCACAUUGAAUUAUGCAACACAAAAUACCAAAAAAAAGUUUCAGUUAUCAUUGUUCCCCCCCCCCUUUCCCUUUCUAUGUAUAUUAUUUAUUAUUUAUUUACUAUUUAAAUCUUCACACUCCUCUUUGACUUUUUACAGCCUUGACUCAGGGCUCAGCAGCAGGGGAGGGGGGUUAUGUGGCAAAAUGCAUGGAGGGCUCUUCCUUUCCCAUGCCAUGCAGCAGCAAGCAAGCAAGCACAUCGCCCAUUCUAGUGCUUUCCUUCUUUGUCCUCAUCCCCCAGUUCCACACACCUUGCUAUUCAUCCCACACUGCAUGCACUUUUCCACACACCCCAAAACUACAGUCACUCCCACUUGGUUUCACCCUAUGUCAGUAAAAUUCUCAACUCUAGCUCACAGUACCCACACCACCCACAUUGCAACAAACCAGCAUACAAACUAACUAAUUUACGCAUUCUUGCAGUUUUGCAACACAAUGGAACAGCUCCACCACCCAUCACUAAAACACACACUCACUGAGCUAGCAAACCUGAUCGACAUCGCAGUGGUGAAUGUGCUGCAACCUUACAAGCUUGUCAGCAGCUGUGGGUCACUGGUGCUUGGGCAGUGGAGGUGUUGCAGUUGUAGUAGUGGGCGUGAAUGAGAGCUUUCAGUAGGUGUUUGAUAAUGCGAGGGUGGGUACUAGAUGCUCGAGGUGGAUUUGUAAGGGUGGCGCCACCGACAACAAAUAGCAAAAGGCAUCAGGCGCUGUAGCGAAACCAUCCACCACGUGCCUGCUGGGGUUUGCUGCGCUACAGGAUCCACACGGUGGAAUUUGUACCCUUUUAUCAUUUGGGUUUGAUCCUAUCCGUUACUCUGCCACAGCGUGCCUGACUUUGCCCUAGACGCAGCCAGCUGGAAUUAGAAAUGGGGAGAAUCGGAGUUUCCCAGUCUCCCCCACCUUUCGUGACUAAAUUUCGCGAUGCCAGUUUUGGUGCAGCGUUUCGUCCGGAUGCAGCAGAUUCGAAGAGAGGUGAUGCACCCAGGGAAGUGACGCGCGCCCACGGCGUCAGUGGGAGCCCAAAAAGACGGCAUGGGAAGCCGUGCAAGGAAGAUGCUCCGAACGACCUUGACUGCGGUGAUGAGAAACGGCGAAGCGUGCGACAGAGGGAUGAGAGUGGAGGGCCAGGGCGUGACAGGUCCCGGGUAUGGCAGCCUGCACCACAUCCCAUCCUGGCUGACUCACUCGCGCAGAUCUUUUUCUGGCUUUUUGUAUGUGUUUGUUUCCUCGUGGCGUCAUUGGAGUCUGAACCUUCCUCGCCAUGCCAUUCUUCUCCAUUGAAGCGCUACCCUCCUCGGUUGCUUCGACCCGGAGGCACGUCCUGAGAUGAGCGGCCCGGAUUCCUUUGGCCAGGGGUGCGAGCUUCGUCCGUGGCGUCUCUGUUUCGUGGCAGUUGUCAAGCUCCCCCGCCACAUCCCCACGUCCUCGCCAGGUUCUGGAGCUUUUCGUUUUCUGCAUCAAUUGCCAUCAUGAGCACAUCAUGGAAUUUAAUAAGGGAUCCAUUGGGUGGUUUAAUCUAGCCCUGUUGUUGCGCGUUGGGUUGUGCAACAAGUAAGGGUGAGGAUUAUCAAGGAGUGGUUGUGAAGAUCGUUGAUUUUCGGUACGUAGCUGCGGGAGGAAGGGAAGGAGAGAAUAAUCGUCGUAGGUAGGGUCGACUCAGCCUUCAUUCCUCACAAGUUGUCCCACUUCUGCAGUAUAAUCAUCCCUUACCUGCAAUGUGUGUAUCGACGUCGUGCUCAUGUACAACCUCGAUUUGAAACACUUGUAGUGAGUGUUUUUCUUCUCACGUUACUGCCGUUUUACGUUCUGCUUCUACUUUGUGGGUUUUACUGUCGCAGUGUUUCAUCUUUCGUUUGUUGGAGCUGCAAAAUGAUAACGGAUUGCGGGUGAGGACUGAUUUUUAAAAUAAUGCGUAUCUUUCGCAUUUAUUCAUAGGCUACUUGAGAAUUAGGGUUCUUCAGUGGAUUGCUUAUCUAGCUUGCUGGCAUUUUUAGGAUUGUUGGAGCUUUGCCUCAAGUCUGUGUUUGAAUCAUUGAGUUUCUGUGUUUUAAAAAAGUAAUCGUAAUUGAAAACAUCAGUCCGUCGUACAGAAUUUUGCAGAAUGAGCAAUUUGCGUACUUGUGUGCAGAGACUACAAAUAUGAAUUGUAAGUUUUCGACGUUGCGCGCUUAGCUCGAACGGAAGAUACAGUAAAUAAGUUGCAAACCAUUUAUUGCAAAGACAAGAUUGUAAGUUCAAUUUAGCCCAAAAUGUAUGAGAAUUUGUGUGUCGAAAUGAUACCUAGCCUGUGAUAUAUUUUGUGUUUCCCAUCUACGUACUUCGUUAGUAUGUAUGUCUUGACUGUAAUUUGUACAGUACUGCGUCCCUCUCUAUGUCACUGCUGAGUCUUUGAGCUCCAAAAUUAGGGUUACAUAAAAUUCUCACUCAAUUUUUCCUGGUUAUCUUUUACGAUAGCCAAAUCAAUGGGUUCUAUCCCUGAUAAACGGAUAUCUUAUCUGAAAUCAUUUCAUGGGGAAUCUCGUUGAGUAUUUCAGGACGACACAAAUUUUCUCUACUUUGUGGUGGUACACUAAGUUAGAUUCAGGACUUAUGAAUAAUGAAUUGGCUUUUGGAGGCUAUGUUGCUUAAGGGAUCUGAUUGAGCGUUGUCUUCUAUAGACCAUAUUAUUUGUCACUAGGAAUUGUCACUAUGUUCGCGGUCUAAAGCUUGUGUCCAGUGGCUUUGUCAAUACUCUGGAUGCUGAUAUUUAUCACCAUGUUAUUUCUGAAUAUUUUGGAGUCAUUUUGGUGGUAAUUGGGCAUGGAUUAUCAUCGAGGGUUAUUAGCUGGAAGUUCGAUACAAUAUGACUACAAAUCAUGUCUUAAUGAAUCAUAAGUUAUGCAGUUUAAUAUUUUGGCUCUUUGAUUGCCUUAGCAGGUGCAUCUGGAUUCAAACGGCAGCUGGAUUACUCAGCGUCGGAGAAACAAUUGAAAUUUGAUCAAAGUUCUUAGUAGUGUCAUAAUACAAUAAUACUUUCAUAUCAAGGACACUACUAACUGGUGUUUUUAGUGCCAAAUAACCAAAAGUAAAACACAGGUAAAUGCUCUGAAGUUGAAUGGUUGCAUUCAAUUUCUUUUUAAAUCUAAAAGACAAGAAAUAAUCAUGGAUUCCUGUAAAUAUUUAUUUAUUUCAAAUUGUAACAGUAUAAUCCCUAAAGGCUGACUCAAAAGUAGAGGUAGAUAAUUUUUUACAACAAUAGCAAAUAAAUUAGUUUGGUGGAUAAAAUAUUCUUAAAAUUAAAAUUCAAUUAUUAUUUUCAAGAAAGUUAAUUAUUUGGCUAUUUAUGUCCAACUUGAAGUAAUACAAAAUAGAGAAAGAAAUUAUGAUUCAAUUUCUCUUAAGUUUGGUUACAUUCGUAUAAGAAUACAAUUUUUGCUUGCAAAUAUCAUGUGUAUAAGAAGAUGCUCAACAUUUGAAUAUUUAUUUUUGAAGUUGAAUUUAUUUAUUUACUUAUUUAAAUGUACACAAAGAUUAGCCUCAAAAUGGAUUAACUCAAGUAAUACACAUUAGACAAUGACAUCUAUUAUUGUAUGGAAAAAAGCAAAAUAAUGCCGAAAAUGCAAAGAGAGGAAAUGUGACUUAUGAUAUGCUUUCAGUAGCAUAAAAAAUUGGACGAAUUUGUAUAUCUAAUACGAAUAUAAAACAAAUUUUGAUUAGAGUAACCUAAUAAGUGAUUAAAUAUUAAUUCAAAUUUUGUUUUUUAUAAUUUAUUUAACAACCUACUCCAAAUUCCAGUUAAGGUUUUCAAUGAUAACUUGUCAUAUUUAUUUAUUUAUACUUUAUUUAAGCUUCUUAUUGAUGAAUAUUACAAUUACUUUUGAAUGAUAUCAAGUUGAUAAGUUCAAUAACUUGUACGUGGGCUUCAUUAAAAGUAUAUGUUUAGAAAAAGUAGCCAUGAUGAUAUAUAUAUAUAUAUAUAUAUAUAUAGUGAAUGUAUGUUAGUGUUGUGAGGUUUGUCAAUAUCCAAACAUCCGUCUAAUUAUUUUGUUGCUGAUUUAUAUUCAAAAUUUUUUUUAUCCAAAAGUUGAUUAAUAUGUUAUGUUUGAGAAUUUUUUUUGUGGAUAGUUCAUUGCAAUGUUUGCAAAUCAAUCUUUAAGCAGAACACAUAUUGAUGAAAAUAGACUUAAACUUGCUUACGAAAACAUAAAGUAUAUUAAAUAGUUUACAAUUUCUAUGUUUCAUUUAUUAUCCUUAGAGAUUAUUGUCUUGUGCAUUGUUUUGUCUCUGUGGCAGUUUUUACAAUUAAAUUGAACCUUGUAGAAUAAUGUCGUAUUUAGAAGGAUUCUGCAAGUUGACAUCUCAAGUCUUUCGUGUUCCUCCUAUUAAGCGUGUGUUGCGAAUGUGAAUUCUUGAUUGGAGUUUGAAAGAUACAUCAAACUUCAGCCAUCGCAGCGCUUGGAUUUUUAGACACUUCCGUGACUUCUCCAUCAUGAAUCGCUCUUCGUGCAAAGCAAUGGCUCCACACGCUACUGAUAUAACUUAAAAGAAAUUUUCAGCAGAAUAAUGGGCCUUAUUACCGCGGUGUAAAAUUCUGGCCUAGUAGUCUGUUUUCUGUAUCUUUGAGAGCUUCAUGUUCAAGUGCUGUAUCUAAUAGGAGGUUUGUUCUAUUUAAUAAUUUGGUUGGCACGGCUACUCAAUACAAUUUGGAUAUGGAGUUGUACUCUUAGUCUCAAUUCCGUCUUGCAAAUCAGCUCAGUAGCAGUUGUUCAUUGAAAUACUUAAUCGAACUUGUGUAUCGAGUAUUGGUCAAUGUGAGUGUACGGCAUUUUAAAAUUAUUGAAAUCCUUUACAACUUAGAUUUGCCGUGGCUAAAUGGUUUAUCAGUUUUUUCGUUAAUUUUCCAUCUCUAAAUUAGCUCAUUUCGAAAAUGUCAAUUCCCAUUGAAGCUAACGUUUUGGACUUACAGUGUUUUUCGAAAGUAAAUCAAUGUGAUACGAUACUAGUUAAUAGAUUGUAGAUGAGAAUAUGGGUUAAACGAUUUUCAGGGCUGACUCUCGUUCAAUUAGGGAGAGCAUAGUGGUUCUAGUUUGGUUGCAUCAGCAGAAUGCACUCGGAGAACUUGACAAGUCCAAUAAAGGCAAGAGCAAAGGGAAGGGGAAACCCGAAUCAGGCACUGCUGGAUCAGUAGUGGCAGCUGAAGAAGUUCAGCCUUUGACAAGCGCGACAUGACUUCCUGAUUCGAUUCUAAAGAAAGCGACUGCUGUACCUGCUGCAGCAGAGCAACUUACGGUAGAGACAAAAGCAGAUGUUAAUGGGGUGUUGGCUGAGUCACUCGAGUUGAGAACUUCAGCAACUGUCUCCGAGAAAACUGGAGUUGUAAGUGGAUCAGAGAUAAUCUGAAGGAAUUGGAACUCGUGAUGCGAAUACCAAUGGAGAUGGCGAAGGAGAUGGUGAGUCUGCUACGUUGCCUACUUUUGAUUUAUCGAAGUUCUUGCAGUUGGGUUAGGAUUGCUCACUAGUGGCAGCUCAUGAUUGAUUGCCUCGUGCAUGGUUGUUCACGCCUUCUAAAGUAUUUGAACAGCCAGAAUGUUAAACAAAUUUGUUCACGUCCAGAAUGUUAUUUCAAAACGUUUCUGAUGGGGUUGCAUCUGAGAAACAGGUCCUGUAAAGAUGGAGCUAGUAGAGUUGGAAGGAGGUCUUGGAUUUAUGGAAGAUUCUUGCGGUCAAUUAAAUGCACUUGUUAGUCUUCCUGAAAUACCUGAGAAGCCGUGUGUGGAAACAAUUGCCUUCUCCUCGUUCAAUCCUGUUCCAGGAUAUCGGAGGUACUUUAAAUUUGUAUUGGCUUUUGCCUACUGCAUUUAGCUUGGAAUUUUAUUGUUCAAUUUGUAUGUUGCAAGUCGUAAGAUUAUGUUGCUUACCAAGUGGAACUUUGCGUUUAAUUUCUGCGGUACUCUGGGUGGACAGACUGCUUAGCGAUCUCAUUUACCUUGAUGUGACAACAGCUGAAGGCAAAAGUCACUGCGUGACUGCACACACACACACAAGGAUUUUAUGUCGACUCAAGCAAGGGGAAUACACUGAAUGCAGCACCUGCCACUCCAACUGUUGAAUCGGCUACGAUCGUUGGGCUGCUACGGUUAUUGAGUAAAAAGUUCGUUUCAAGUGAAUCGUAGUGCUUUCAUCAUACUUCUUUUAUGAUAAUUGUAAAUUCCUUUAGUGUAAGUAAGUGCUGGGUUACAAGAAGAGUUGUUUUUUCAGUGCACUGGUAUUUUGGUUCUUGAAGAACAUAGUCGUUCUUCUUUGAUGUUAAUUUUAUGUCUUCUUGAAAUGGAGAUUUUAUCUGACAAAUACAGUUACGAGCAGGAUUUGGUUCGAUAUUGGAUAAAAAGUCAUCUGGACAUCCCUUUGAGAAUGUUCCAAUGCUGUUACCACCUAAUGCUUGGCUUAGACCCCAUCCUACACCUCGUGAGUCAUCUGUAACCAUUUGGAUCUUUGAUGUCAUUGUAAAGUUUGGCCUAAGCUAGCCUUAAGGAUUUGUGGCUUGUUAUUGUGUGAAAUUUGUCUUUUGAUAUUUUUGGUUUUAUUUAACUUCAUUUGCAUGUUGUAUAAAAUACUUGGUUUUGGAUUCUCUAACCUCUUAGAGUUUUCUCAAGUAUACAUUUCAUAGUCAAUCAUGAGUUAAUGCCCUUACUUCAGAGUUACUUUGCUCAAGCGUCGCCUUCAAACUCUUCAUACUUUAGGUUAUGGUUGUAUUUCUGUAUUACAUUGGAGUUAUACUGUUGCUGAUCCGACGAUGUUGACUCGAGAAACUGCAGCCCACAAAAGAGACAUUGUUCGUGCUGAGGAUGCCUUAAUGGUGCCGUAUGGCACUGAGGUAGUAGGAAUGCAGAGAGAUUGGAAUGAAGAGCUUCAGUCCUGCAAGGAAUUUUCACGAGACAAUUUACAAGACAGGUGGGUGUGGAUAUCAAUUUAUAUAUAUAUAUAUAUAUAUAUAUAUAUGUAUAACCUCACUAGUGUGACCUUUCAUAUCUGUUGUUUUACUUCAUAUGUGUGAUGUUUUAAUCUGUAGGUUAUUCUAGACUUAUUAGGAUUAGCCCUAGUAUUUCUGUUGAGAAGAUAAGCCAUACCUCCCCUUUGAAACUGCUAUUUGAGAUAAUUAAACCGAGUGCUAUUGUUAUUUCAGAAUUACGAGGGAUAGGGCUCUUUUUAAGGUUAACUGUGACUUUUUGGAAGCUGCGACCAAAGGAGCCAAAGCUGUAAUAAAUCGGUGUAUUCCACCCAUCAAUCCAACAGACCCUGAUCGCUUUCACAUGUAAGUAUGAUUAAAACUUAUCAAUAUAGAUUCUGUUUAUAAGCCUCUUAUACCAAUGGACUUACUUGGAGGUUUUUUUCAGUAGAAACUUAUGUUACAAUGUAUAUUGUACUUAUUGUCAUUUGAAUGUAUUUAAACUGAAAAUGGAUUUUUUCAGAAUAUUGAUCUAUUUUAAGUGACUUUUAGCACAUGCAUGUCAACAUUUUGGUUAUGAGGAGGCAUUUUUACUUGCAGGUAUGUGCACAACAAUAUCUUCUUCAGCUUUGCCGUUGACAGACUUUUUUCUUAUGCAGCAAAUGAGAGAGCAUAAUGUUCAUACAGAAGGUACCGCAGCAGAGAAAGGAAUGAUCUCAAAUGGAGAUCCCCCGUCAGAUCACAUUGAAAAUAAUGAGGGUGAUACAUCCUUAAACACAGAUGCAAGUGUUGGUGCUGUAUCUCUUGAAAGCGAGCAAGUGACGUAUGUAUUUGCAAACAAUGAUGUAAAGGGGACAAAAGCUUACAACAACGCAAAUGUGACUGGCCUAUAUACUCUUGCUAUGGCUAUCAUUGAAUAUAGAGGUCAUAGAUUAGUUGCGCAGGUUGGUGUCUAAUCCUGCCAAACUUUUUAUAUGGCAAUUUGUUUAGAAGACUUUGAACCAUAUGCUUUAGGGAGCAAAAACUUAGUGCAACAAUGUUUCACAAUAGUCAAGGACUAUACAUCAAUGCAUGGUUUAAGAAUAGUGUGUUGGUGAGUUGCAGAUUAUCAUUCCUGGCGUCUAGCAAGGUGACAAGACGGAGUCGUUACUGUAUGGAUCUGUUGACAACGGAAAAAAGAUCGCAUGGAACGAAAAUUUCAUGCUAAUGUCAGCACUUAAAGCAAUCCCUGAAGCUCAGUUUUUACUGAAAUCGGUAUGCUUGGUUGCUUGUGUUGUGUUUUUAAGUAUAUAACCUUUGAGAACUGGCGCGACGCGUACAUUAAAAUAUUUAUUUCAGGCGCUGGAAGCAAGGAAGCUACUAAAUAUUAAGGAGUAUACAGUGCUGGACGGAGUUAGGAAGUCUGUGACUCUGUGUGCUCCUAUGGAAUGCAAGGGUAUUGUUGGUAGUGAUGACAAGUAUGUGGUGCUUGUAUACUCUAUUUUCAGGACUGAAGAAAUAAACUAGUCAUGAAAUAAUUUGUGCUUGAUACAACUUCUUUAAGCUAAAUCAUUUAGGGUUCCUUGCUAUGAAUUGGUAUUGCAGGCAUUACCUUCUUGAUCUAAUGAGGAUGACACCAAGAGACAUCAACUACACAGGUCCUGGAUCUCGACUUUGUGUACUUAGACCUGAAAUUACCUUAAAGAUUCAGUGUUGCCAAGGCUGGCUGCGGACUUGAGUAGCCUAGAAGUGUGUCCUAUGGAUGGUCCUACUUUAACCGAUGCCAUGAGCAUCAAUAUCCGUUACCUUGGUCAAGUAAGAAGCUUUAUUAGAAUUUACAGUGUUUUGACAUGUAUUCUUUUCUUAGCGAUUUUUCUCUACUUCUGCAUCUAGUACAUUACAAUCAUAAAAUAAAUAAUAAAAUAAAUAAUUGAUUCACUUGCAGCUAGGAAUUGAGACUGUGGACCUGUGGUAUUUGAAGGCCAAUGGUACAAGGAGUGUAUGGCAGUAGACUGACUAGGUGGUUGGGUGAUUUUCAGGUAGCAAAAAUGGUAGAGCACUUGCCUCACAUUUGGGGUCUAACUGUUGUGGAGAUGGUUGUUCGGGCUACUAAACAUGUCCUCAAGGUAUAUUAAAAAAGAACAUGUUUCAGAUUCAGUCAAAAUUCUCUGAACUAUUCUCCGUGUUCAGAAUUUUUUACCUGUUUUUAUCUGGAUCUAUCGCAGUCGCAGUGCACGAAAAUAGUUCACUUGUUUUCGGUAGUAGCCACACCCUGAUUGAUAGUCUAUCUCCUACUGCAGGGGGUAUUACGAGAAAUCCUUGAUCAGGAUGGUGGAGCGAUUGCCCACUUCUUCAAUUGUUUAGUUGGAUCGGGAUCUGCAAAUUCAGUUGUGGAAGAGAGCACUGGCUCAACCGAAAAAUCUCAAUCAAAGUCUACUUCUGUAAGUCCCUAUUUCUUAGAUGCAGUUUCAUUUUGCAUGUCAGGAUUGAGUAUACUGUGCGUACAUAGCAUCAAAUAAUGUAGACAUUCUAGAUUUUCUGUUUACAUAUAUAUUUUUUGUCUGUGUUGUUGUAAUUUCUUAGUUACCUUGUAACGGAGGGUUGUUUUAACUAUUUGUUUGGUUGAAAUCAGGGCAAGACCUCAUCGACACAGUCAGCUUUAUCCGAGAUUAAACCAUCGUACUUGUGUAUAACACCAGAUCUUGUCUGGUCUCAUAUCGAGGAGAGUGUUAAGUUUGAAUACUUGAUACUUCAAAUUCCAACCUUAUGUUUGUGUUUUUGGAUGCCGGUUCAUAUGGAGAAGAUUUUAAGUUUUGCACUGUCUAAUUAGCUGAGAAUAGGGGUUUGAUGUUUGAUUGAAAUCUUUGUAUGUGUAACUAAUUGGACUUGUUUUGCACUUCGAGGAGGUUUUGAGUGACACGCUUUCGUCUUAUCUUUAUUCAGGUUCUGGUGUUUGGUUAACAGUGGCAUGUUGGAUUGUUGAAGUAGGCUUCUCAACUACUUUUAUCUUAAUAUUUUUCAAGCCACUUGUAGUUGCAGUUUGAUUUACCAAGCGAUGUAAGAUCAAGAGUUUGCAAUAUAUCCACUUCUGAAGACUUGGAUCUACAGUCAGUGGUGAAGCAUUUGUCACAUGUCUGUGCAGACGCUCGCGACCUUUUAGAAAGAUGGAAGCUGCUCUUGGCACAAACGAGUUCCAAUAGUCUCUGAAUAUUUCAAUUUGACUUCCUUAAAUCUGACUUCAAGUUUUAGUCAAAAACUGUUAGUGCGUCUGGAGCGGGUAUCUUUUUGAUCUUUUCUAUGCAAAACUUAGAGUGUAUCCCACUCCCAACCUCAACCUUUGUCUCAAUUCAAUUUAUUUUGAACGUUCCGAAUUAGCAAAAGGAUAUCCUAGAAAGGUAGAAAGUCGACUAAUAUGUACGCGGCUGAUAUGGUGUAGGGCAAGCUGAAUGAAGCUUAUGAAGCAUUUUCUGAAGCAUUCACUAUCUUAUAACAGGUCAAAUUUUGGGUACUCAUAAUGCACGAGAUGUUUUUUUAUGUGGAUUAAGUAUGUUGUCGGUCCUUAAGAAUCUGAUAAGGUUUUGUACAUGUUGAAAUACUGUCUCAUGGAGAUCUGUGCGCAUCUGAAGUAAUGGUAUGCCACUGAAAUUACGAAUGUGGUAUCAACAGGUUUGUGGACCAAUGCACAGAGAAGUUGUUAACUGCUCCUGUAAUAUAUACUAACACUAGUUUCUCUUCCAGAUAUUUAGCAAUGGUUUUAUACCAUGCUGGGGGCAUGGCAGGGGCCACAAUGCAACAACAGAAGGAGUUAAUCAUUAACGAGCGAUGUCUUGGAAUUGAUCAUCCAGACACUGUGCAUAGGUGCCCUUAAUGCCUUGUCGUGUGUUGCAGUUUUAUCAGAAACAUGUCAGCUGUUUCUGUAUUAGAUUUAUUUGGGCUGAUCUGUCAUGCUAAGGAUUAAUUUGGUGAACUUGUUUAAUGGUGUAUUGAAGUUUCUUGUAUUUUGUAAGAUAUUCUGGUAGUGAGUUUGUAAGAUUUAUUUUUAUUUUUUAUUUUUUAUUUUUUGGCACAAAUAGAGUCAUUGCACUAUUGCAGGUAAGUAGAAGGUACAUACCUCCAACCAGGUCCGAUCAAGUACUUUAGUUUACAUACAUUAGCUAGUUACUACAUUGCUCCUAGGCCACGAUAAUUUCCACUCAUCCUAUAUGCGAACACAUAGUGAAUCCACAAUGGUGUGAAUUGUGCAAGUCUAAUUCCUUGGUUGUUACCACCCUGCGUGACAUCUCGUAGUCUGUGCCUGUCCCCACCACUGCCUCCCUGACCUCUACUCGUUCGUUGUUCGACCUCUAAAGUGAAGAGAUGAAGAAGGUGAGUACCCACCCCCACGCUCGGGCUGCAGAGUUAGACUCCUAGAAUCGAUGAAGCAUUGUUUUGCAAAUUCCUUCCAGGCAGAUAGGAUUACACUGGUCGAUGUCUUUAUUUAUUCACCUUCUCCAAGCGUUCACUGCAAUCUAUCUGUGCCAGGUUAACCAUAUGAGCCCUGCCUCUUUUCUGGCUCUCCCUGCAUCCCACACGUUAGCCCACUUUAGUUUAAAACCUUGUAGAAGAAUGCUGCUUCACUUGUGCGAUACCACAUUCGGGAUCAGAUGUCGUUUUUUGAGCAAAGCUGAAUCCAACUGUGCAUUAUAUUGCAUAAAUGGAAUUCGGCCAAUCCAUUGAUACUGUCCUGGAUCCCAUACCAGACGGUCAAUUCUGUCAUAAUACAAGUAAAUUGUCUAAUUUUGUCCUCUUGUUAUUGGGAUAAUUUGUAUCCUCUUCGAACUGCCUGCUAUAUAGGUUCAACUGCUGACUCCGUUUGCUGUCACCCGGUGCAGUGCGUAUCUCCAUCCUUGUUUGAGCUCGAACAAGGUGGGAGUUCCCCCACCUAGCUAGAUGGGAUCCAAAACCCCGUUGAGGAUAGAUUGAUAAGGUAUGUGGUGGAAUUCUGCCAGACCACCAGGGGGGUCCUUGUAUCUUCAUCCGUGAAAAUGCCAUCCCAUUUGUCUUCUUUCUGCCACUGGGAAGAGGUGGGGAGGAGUGUCUCUCUUUCUUGAGCUAACUUAUUAGCUAUUGUUGACCAGACUCCCUCUUCUUGAGACUCUAGCCUGAAGAGCUCCACUUAGAUCCAUGAAGCUUAAAAAAUUGCCAUUCUCCCAUAAGUCUCUGUAGUUUUGCAGGCUGUUUUUAUAUAACUUAGGCUGUUUUUAUGUAACUUUGAUGCUUUUUUCUCUGAAAUUCUAGGACCAAUGUUGAUAAUUUCUUGGUCAUGCCAAAUACUACAAUUAAUCCACUUCUCAUGACACAUUGGAAGAAGAUAUGACACUUUUGGAAAGUCCUUCCAUGUUGCCUCUAUCCUAUUCCAUAUCUUUGACACCUCCUUACUUUUGUACUUUUUCAUAGUGAAGAAUUCAAGGCUUGAUUGCCAUCUUCUUUGUGCAUAUGGUUGGAAUUGACUAAGGUGAUAUCUUAGCAUCAUGUGUAGAUUUGACUUUAAUGGUUCCGUUGCUUUAACAAUCCAUUUAAUUAAUAAUAUUGCCAUUGCAUUUGCCAAGUUGAUGAAGUAAAUACCUCAUGCUACUUUAGUUUGAGCCCUAUGUAUAGUACAUCCUACAAGGUAGUUACUUCGAAAGGCCUUUAUGUGUGAUAAGCUUUUUUUGGUGCCUUUCUAUAAGAAAAUAAAGUAGAAUAUUAUUAUUAAUAGGAUAUUGUUUAAAAUAACACGACUUUUAGUAGUAUUAAUCAUUGUUGAAUACCAAUGGCUUAGUUUCUUAUUGAUUUUUAUUUUUAAGAAAGAGUCAAAAUAUUUUGAAAUCAGACAUUCCAAAUGGUACUCCCAAUAAUUUACUUACAUCAUUUUUGUCCAUCCAAAUAAUGUCUAGUUCAUUGAUCCAACUUCGUUGGAUAAGGGAGUGGUCAUUCUUCCAAUAGAAACUUAAUUUGUUCCAAUUCAAGACUAGGCCCAAGUCCAAACAAAAUAUUUUAAGAAUAUAAAUUAUUUGCUUUAUAUUUUCUUCUUCUUUCUUUAAGGUUAGAGAUGUAUCAUCUACAUAUUGCACCAUUAUAUAUUGUCUAUAUUCCAUAGGUAAUUGUAUUCCUUUUAUUAUUUCUAUCCUAGUUUCUUUCAUGAAUAUUGUAUUGAAGACUUUAGCUACUACAAGAAAUAAAUAGGAAGCUAGUGGAUAAUCUUGUCUUAUAUAUCUUUCUAUUAUGAAUAAUUUGGAAGGAGUCUCAUUGAUUUUUACACACAUCUUUGCAUUAAUGAAUAACAAUUUAACCAUAUAAAUGAAAUCUUUUGGUAGUCCUAAUGCCUUUAUUAUGUAGAAAAAAAAAAUCUACUCAAUAAUAUCAUAAGCUUUGGAAAAACCAAGUUUAAAAAAAAUAAAUCAUUGUUCUGAUUUCUUAGCCUAUGCCAUAAUGUCAUAGGUUAAUAUAAAAUUAUCUAAAAUAUAUUGAUUUGAUGACAAGGCAAAUUAAUCCAUACUAAUGAUAUUUAUAAAUAUCAAUAGAAGUCUUAAUUGCAUAGCCAUUGCAUAAAUCUUAUACUCUAUAUUGAGUAAAGUAAUUGGUUUCCAAUUUGAUAGAUCAUAUCCUAUGCUUUCUUUAUACAACAAAGCUAUAAGGCCUUAGAUUACUUCCAAUGGAAGGCAUUCAUUUUUAAUACUUUCUUAUAACAUGAUUAGAUAUUUUGGCUAUAAGAUAUUCCAAAAAGAUAUAUAGAAUUCAAGAAUAAUUCUAUCUAGCUCAAGAAUUUUUUUUUUUCCUUCAUCUCUUUUAGUAUUUUCAUGAUUUCUACUAAAAGAAGGCUUUCAAACACUUGUCUCUCCACUUUCUACUAUUUUAGGUAAGCAUGCAACACCUGCUCCAUUGUCUUCUUCUCUUUAGACUAUUAUAAGAUGUUAAUUAUGUUGACAAGCUUUAUUUAUCAAGUAGCAUCUCUUGAAUCUUCUUAUAAUUCAAUGAUAGCCUUGAUGAGAUGGUCUUACAUUCCUUCCUCCUCAUGAGACUUCUCUGAUUAUUUAUUGAUAUAAUAUAACUUGUAAAAUUUAACACAACAACAAAGCUUGCCAAAAAACAAAAAAAAAAAAAAGAAAAAAAAAGAA
This 40633-nucleotide long non-coding RNA is filed under the name Physcomitrium patens. Its description in RNAcentral is "long non-coding RNA (PPAT_LNC003595)". The record is from RNAcentral. Lineage: Eukaryota; Viridiplantae; Streptophyta; Bryopsida; Funariales; Funariaceae.